CGCUGGCGGCAGCCUACACAUGCAAGUCGAACGGUAACAUUUCCAGCUUGCUGGAAGAUGACGAGUGGCGGACGGGUGAGUAAUGCUUGGGAACUUGCCUUUGCGAGGGGGAUAACAGUUGGAAACGACUGCUAAUACCGCAUAAUGUCUUCGGACCAAACGGGGCUUAGGCUCCGGCGCAAAGAGAGGCCCAAGUGAGAUUAGCUAGUUGGUAAGGUAAUGGCUUACCAAGGCGACGAUCUCUAGCUGUUCUGAGAGGAAGAUCAGCCACACUGGGACUGAGACACGGCCCAGACUCCUACGGGAGGCAGCAGUGGGGAAUAUUGCACAAUGGGGGAAACCCUGAUGCAGCCAUGCCGCGUGUGUGAAGAAGGCCUUCGGGUUGUAAAGCACUUUCAGUUGUGAGGAAAAGCUAGUAGUUAAUACCUGCUAGCCGUGNACGUUACAACAGAAGAAGCACCGGCUAACUCCGUGCCAGCAGCCGCGGUAAUACGGAGGGUGCGAGCGUUAAUCGGAAUUACUGGGCGUAAAGCGCACGCAGGCGGUUUGUUAAGCUAGAUGUGAAAGCCCCGGGCUCA
RNAcentral lists this ribosomal RNA (578 nucleotides) under uncultured bacterium. RNAcentral's name for it is "bacterial SSU rRNA". It matches the Rfam family "Bacterial small subunit ribosomal RNA", at positions 34 to 611 of the family's 1533-position model. The record is from RNAcentral.